CAAAUGGAGAGUUUGAUCCUGGCUCAGGAUGAACGCUGGCGGCGUGCCUAAUACAUGCAAGUCGAACGAAGAUGAAAGCUUGCUUUCAUCUUAGUGGCGAACGGG
RNAcentral lists this ribosomal RNA (105 nucleotides) under Erysipelotrichia bacterium. Its description in RNAcentral is "Bacterial small subunit ribosomal RNA". It matches the Rfam family "Bacterial small subunit ribosomal RNA", at positions 1 to 106 of the family's 1533-position model. Lineage: Bacteria; Bacillati; Bacillota; Erysipelotrichia. The record is from Rfam by way of RNAcentral.